GAGGUUCCGAAGAUUAAAGAUACA
Molecule: non-coding RNA, 24 nt
Filed under: Arabidopsis thaliana (thale cress)
Lineage: Eukaryota; Viridiplantae; Streptophyta; Magnoliopsida; Brassicales; Brassicaceae
Source: RNAcentral